This 747-nucleotide ribosomal RNA is filed under the name uncultured bacterium. Its description in RNAcentral is "bacterial SSU rRNA". It matches the Rfam family "Bacterial small subunit ribosomal RNA", at positions 28 to 776 of the family's 1533-position model. The record is from RNAcentral.
GAUGAACGCUGGCGCCGUGUCUAACACAUGCAAGUCGAACGAGGUAAAUGAGAUGAAGUUUUCGGAUGGAUUCUUAUUUACCGAGUGGCGGACGGGUGAGUAACGCGUGGGUAACCUGCCUCAUACAGGGGGAUAACGAUUGGAAACGAUUGCUAAUACCGCAUAAGCGCACAGUACCACAUGGUACGGUGUGAAAAACUCCGGUGGUAUGAGAUGGACCCGCGUCUGAUUAGCUAGUUGGUGAGGUAACGGCCCACCAAGGCGACGAUCAGUAGCCGACCUGAGAGGGUGACCGGCCACAUUGGGACUGAGACACGGCCCAGACUCCUACGGGAGGCAGCAGUGGGGGAUAUUGCACAAUGGAGGAAACUCUGAUGCAGCGACGUCGCGUGAGUGAAGAAGUAUUUCGGUAUGUAAAGCUCUAUCAGCAGGGAAGAAAAUGACGGUACCUGACUAAGAAGCCCCGGCUAACUACGUGCCAGCAGCCGCGGUAAUACGUAGGGGGCAAGCGUUAUCCGGAUUUACUGGGUGUAAAGGGAGCGUAGACGGCGACGCAAGUCUGAAGUGAAAUACCCGGGCUCAACCUGGGAACUGCUUUGGAAACUGUGUUGCUAGAGUGCUGGAGAGGUAAGCGGAAUUCCUAGUGUAGCGGUGAAAUGCGUAGAUAUUAGGAAGAACACCAGUGGCGAAGGCGGCUUACUGGACAGUAACUGACGUUGAGGCUCGAAAGCGUGGGGAGCAAACAGG